UGUAUGAUUUGGCACCAAAGUGAAUGUGAAGAACCUGCACAGGACAGCCAGUGUCAUCUUCAUUUGCAGGUAAGCAGAGUCUUUCCCCAGACAUAUUCGCGGUCCAGCCUGCAACCAUCAACACAAAAUUACAGUGUGAAGUAGAGAGAGAAGUGAGCUUUCGAUUUCCAUGGUGGAUGUACCUGGAAUGCUGUGAACUUGAAUGGGGAGACGGUCUGCAAUAUCCCAUCCUUGAACCACCGCUCAGGUUUGUACAGUGCUGCAUCAGGUCCCCAGUUGUACUCCAUUCUCCCCAUGACAUAGGGAACAUAGGUUUGCAGGCCAUGGAAUGGGAUCGAUCACCUGAGGAACUGCAGGGUACAGUCUGAGAGUCUCUGAGAUGCAUGCAUGGAGGUAAGCCAAUCUUCCCAUGGAAUCAUAGCUGAGGAAGCCAGCAAACUGCGUCAUCCUGUCAUCGAAAGCCUCGACCAGAAGCGCAACACCUUCUUCCUUGGCGCGCUCUUCUUCGAAUGCCCUGAGCUCGUCAUGGAGCUUCUCGGCCACACCAGGGUGUGUCAUCACCAUGUAGAUGAACCAUGACAGCGUCGCCGCCGUCGUGUCUCUUCCUGCGAUCACAAAGUUAAGGACCAGAUCUCUGAGGCUCUUGUCGUCGCUGAAGAUGCUGCCGUCGCCCUCGCCGAGCUCGAUGAACCUCGACAGCAGAUCAUGCUUCAUCUGUUGCAGAAGCAAGAACAGAGUUCUAGGAUGGCAACCAGAUCAAAGCAGGAGCGUAUCAGGCGCGCCUCUCCUUGCACGCGAAGAAGCCUUUUGAUCCUCCAAAAGGGAUCGAUGAAUCGGUUAGUGACGAUGAUAUUAGCAUCAUCGAAAGCCUGAGCAAAUGCGUUCUCGGGGAGGUCAGCUGCUAGCGUUCCGAUCUCGACUCCAAAUCCAACCUUGGCGAUGGAGUCCAACGUCAUCCUCAUGAACAGAUCCUGCGCCCACAGCAGCUGCAGCUGCAUCAGAGCUUCCAAACGCCAUGCAUGGAUGACUCACCGAUUACCUGCAUGUCGACGUCGCGAUCGACCGGAACUUGGGAUAGUAUUCGUGAGAGCUUCAAAGCAUGUUCUCUGAACACACGAGUGCUCAAGUCCCUCAGAUUCUUCGACGCGAACUCGAGGCUGGCCGUCUUCCUCUGCGCCCGCCACAGCUCACCGUCCGCAUUGAAGAUGCCGUCUCCGAGCAGCACAUCCAUGUAGGAUCGAUACGCUUCCCCCUUCAAUUGCUUGCAUCCACAUGAGAAAGAUUGCAGUGCGAGAAAGUCUUCGGUCCGAAGACUGAGAUCACCUUGGGGUAGUUGGCGAAGUUGGUCUUGAGGACAUGUUCGACGCUUGCAGGAUCGGCGAUGUAGGUGUAGGAUUUGAACGGCAGCGAGACGGUCACCGUCUUCGAUUCCGAGAGGUAGCCGGCGAGCCAGUCGUGCAUGCGGUCGUAGUUCUUGAGCUGCUCGAUGGUUGAUCCGAUGACAGGCCAUGUCUUGGGGCAUCUCUGGUGUCUCUGCUUCCACCUGUGGAUGAAGACCCAUGAAAGCAGAAACAGAGCGAGUAGAGAGCAGGUGUGCAGUCCAAACAGGGAAGAAGAAGAAGAAGAAGAAGAAGAAGACGCAGAGGGCAACAGGUUAGAUUCUUCCAUGGAUGCAGAUGCUUUUGAGGUUGGGGAGUGUGGGUAUAUAAGGAAAAGGAAACAGUAGGUGAGGUGUGGGUGACAAGUAUCUUGGCAUGAUCAUGGGUUAGAUGGUCUCAUUCCUUGGGUGUUGUACGCCUAACCAAGAGGAAUGAAUCAAGCGACGUUGCUGCAGCGAUUACCAAGUACGAUUCUCUCAUCAUCAUCGAUGGUAUGUUAGAUAGAUGAUAUAUCAUUUGUCAUGAUCGAUGAAUAGAGCCUCGACUCGAUAUUGGGAGGGUUAGAGGUCUUAUUCGCGGCUUCACUCCCAUCCCAUCCCAUCCAUAUUUCUGUUUUACUGUUCUACUUUAAUGCUUAAUGAUUUUUUUUUC
Molecule: long non-coding RNA, 2030 nt
Organism: Musa acuminata AAA Group (dessert banana)
Lineage: Eukaryota; Viridiplantae; Streptophyta; Magnoliopsida; Zingiberales; Musaceae
Exons: 4
Source: RefSeq, a predicted model, not a curated record